CAGCAGCCGCGGUAAUACGGAGGGUGCAAGCGUUAUCCGGAAUCAUUGGGUUUAAAGGGUCCGUAGGCGGGCAUAUAAGUCAGUGGUGAAAGUCUGUGGCUCAACCAUAGAACUGCCAUUGAUACUGUAUGUCUUGAAUCGUUGUGAAGUGGUUAGAAUAUGUAGUGUAGCGGUGAAAUGCUUAGAUAUUACAUAGAAUACCGAUUGCGAAGGCAGAUCACUAACAACGUAUUGACGCUGAUGGACGAAAGCGUAGGUAGCGAACAGGAUUAGAUACCCUGGUAGUCUACGCCGUAAACGAUGGAUACUAGCUGUUUGGACUUCGGUCUGAGUGGCUAAGCGAAAGUGAUAAGUAUCCCAUCUGGG
RNAcentral lists this ribosomal RNA (366 nucleotides) under Pseudopedinella elastica. Its description in RNAcentral is "partial Bacterial small subunit ribosomal RNA". It matches the Rfam family "Bacterial small subunit ribosomal RNA", at positions 509 to 877 of the family's 1533-position model. The record is from RNAcentral. Lineage: Eukaryota; Dictyochophyceae; Pedinellales.